GCCUGGGUGGCGGAAUGGCAGACGCACCGGACUUAAAAUCCGUUGCCGGGUAAUCCGGCGUGAGGGUUCGACUCCCUCCCCAGGCACCA
Molecule: transfer RNA, 89 nt
Filed under: Lentisphaerota bacterium
Lineage: Bacteria; Pseudomonadati; Lentisphaerota
Description: Lentisphaerae bacterium (freshwater metagenome) tRNA-Leu
Rfam family: tRNA
About the family: Transfer RNA (tRNA) molecules are approximately 80 nucleotides in length. Their secondary structure includes four short double-helical elements and three loops (D, anti-codon, and T loops).
Source: RNAcentral